CAGAGGACCAAGUAUAUAUAUAUAUAUUAUUGCUUGGCAUCACACUCCCUGUGCUCAUACUGAGAAUAAUCAAAUCAUGAUUGCUGGUCCCUGUAGCUGCUUUCAGGGGCUACAGCUUCUACUGCAACAGGUUGAAUGAACAUCCAGUGCAGAGAUAUUCACAAAUGCAAAAGCACGCCUUAAUGUGGCGUUUUAGUACCUAUUUUUACUGUUAAUGUUGUCCAAAAGCUCGUGCAGCCUGAAUCUCUCAUUGACCUAAAACCCAACCUCCAGGAGUAAGCAGCAGCUUCCACAUCAUCCAUUCACUAUUCAUUGUCCUUCCUAAUGAGAACAACAUUAGACUUCUACCUCAACACGACUGAAAUGAUUUCACGAAAAGAGGAGAAUCAUUAUUUUCCAUCAGUUCAUUUAGCAGUGGCUGAAAGUUUCUUCUAGUAAACACAAGGAUCAGUCUCUGCUCUGAAGAAUCAAUCAAGCAACCGCCUGGCCGAUCCAGCUUGGUUCUGACAAAACGGAGGAGCUUUGAGAUAGAGGCCAUUCUGCUUAUAUGUGAUUGCAAAUAUAUAU
This 567-nucleotide long non-coding RNA is filed under the name Coturnix japonica (Japanese quail). Its description in RNAcentral is "lncRNA (ENSCJPG00005017415.1)". Lineage: Eukaryota; Metazoa; Chordata; Aves; Galliformes; Phasianidae. The record is from RNAcentral.